UCAUCAAUAAUGAGGGAUGUUUAAAGCUUGCAGAUUUUAGCCUUUCACGCUAGUGCCCCAGUGAUGACAUCAAUGAAGUUAAAAUUGAGGUUACUUCUUUGUGGCACAGGUAUUGCUAUGCCUUUGGACUUACCGGACACCCCUAGAUCCGUCAAAGGUAUCACUUUUCUAAUAGUGUCGACACCCCUACUUUGGAGUUACUGGACAAAAUGCUAACUCUAGAUCCGUCAAAGAACUCACUUAACCAUCUUAUAUCAAGAGGCGCAGUGUCAUUUUCGGGGUAGAUUACAGGAAAACUGGUAGUCAGUAGCAGAUAGCAUGUCAUAUUUUUUUAUGCCAUUUGAUUCAGGUCAAAUGAUGUCUACAAGCACACUGAAAGCUGUGGAGUAUAGAGGAAAAUGACCUUUAAAUUUUCCUUACUGAAUUCAGGUCUUCCAAUCCAGAACAUUUUCAGGAAAUGGUCCAUUGAAGUUCGGUACUGGUGGACAAAUGGUAUGGGACUGCUGAACCAUGGGUCACUUGUACAAAAUUGAAAACCGAGUAUAUUAUACAUAUUGUGUAUCUCCUAUAAUUCCAUUUUAAUGAAUAGGUCCAAUGAAAUUUUCUAUGCA
Molecule: long non-coding RNA, 611 nt
Organism: Magnolia sinica
Lineage: Eukaryota; Viridiplantae; Streptophyta; Magnoliopsida; Magnoliales; Magnoliaceae
Exons: 2
Source: RefSeq, a predicted model, not a curated record